GGAGGAGUGCCAGAGCGGUUGAUUGGAGCGGUCUUGAAAACCGUCGAACGUGCGAGCGUUCCGUGGGUUCGAAUCCCACCUCCUCCUCCA
Molecule: transfer RNA, 90 nt
Filed under: bacterium
Lineage: Bacteria
Also listed under: 1 other name
Description: tRNA-Ser
Rfam family: tRNA
About the family: Transfer RNA (tRNA) molecules are approximately 80 nucleotides in length.
Source: RNAcentral